RNAcentral lists this transfer RNA (68 nucleotides) under Falconius longicornis. Its description in RNAcentral is "tRNA-Met". Lineage: Eukaryota; Metazoa; Arthropoda; Insecta; Orthoptera; Tetrigidae. The record is from RNAcentral.
AAAAAGGUAAGCUAAUAAAGCUACUGGGUUCAUACCCCACUUAUGGAAGUAAACUCCUCCCCUUCUUA